This 463-nucleotide ribosomal RNA is filed under the name uncultured bacterium. Its description in RNAcentral is "bacterial SSU rRNA". It matches the Rfam family "Bacterial small subunit ribosomal RNA", at positions 330 to 792 of the family's 1533-position model. The record is from RNAcentral.
UCCAGACUCCUACGGGAGGCAGCAGUGGGGAAUAUUGCACAAUGGGGGGAACCCUGAUGCAGCGACGCCGCGUGAGUGAAGAAGUCUUUCGGUAUGUAAAGCUCUCUCAGCAGGGAAGAAAAACCGACCAUAGGGUCGCUAGACGGUACCUGAUUAAGAAGCCCCGGCUAACUACGUGCCAGCAGCCGCGGUAAUACGUAGGUGGCAAGCGUUGUCCGGAUUUACUGGGUGUAAAGGGCGUGUAGCCGGGCUGACAAGUCAGAUGUGAAAUUCCGGGGCUCAACCCCGGACCUGCAUUUGAAACUGUUGGUCUUGAGUAUCGGAGAGGCAGGCGGAAUUCCUAGUGUAGCGGUGAAAUGCGUAGAUAUUAGGAGGAACACCAGUGGCGAAGGCGGCCUGCUGGACGGCAACUGACGGUGAGGCGCGAAAGCGUGGGGAGCAAACAGGAUUAGAUACCCCAGUA